UUGACCUCGGAUCAGGUAGGGAUACCCGCUGAACUUAAGCAUAUCAAUAAGCGGAGGAAAAGAAACCAACAGGGAUUGCCUCAGUAACGGCGAGUGAAGCGGCAAGAGCUCAAAUUUGAAAGCUGGCUCCUUCGGGGUCCGCAUUGUAAUUUGCAGAGGAUGCUUCGGUAGCGGCCCCCAUCUAAGUUCCCUGGAACGGGACGUCAUAGAGGGUGAGAAUCCCGUAUGGGAUGGGGUGCCCGCGACCAUGUGAAGCUCCUUCGACGAGUCGAGUUGUUUGGGAAUGCAGCUCUAAAUGGGUGGUAAAUUUCAUCUAAAGCUAAAUAUUGGCCGGAGACCGAUAGCGCACAAGUAGAGUGAUCGAAAGAUGAAAAGCACUUUGAAAAGAGAGUUAAAAAGCACGUGAAAUUGUUGAAAGGGAAGCGCUUGCGACCAGACUCGCCCGCGGGGUUCAGCCGGUAUUCGUACCGGUGUACUUCCCCGCGGGCGGGCCAGCGUCGGUUUGGGCGGCCGGUCAAAGGCCCUCGGAAUGUAACGCCUCUCGGGGCGUCUUAUAGCCGAGGGUGCCAUGCGGCCAGCCCGGACCGAGGAACGCGCUUCGGCACGGACGCUGGCAUAAUGGUCGUAAGCGACC
RNAcentral lists this ribosomal RNA (634 nucleotides) under Penicillium rubidurum. RNAcentral describes it as "eukaryotic LSU rRNA". It matches the Rfam family "Eukaryotic large subunit ribosomal RNA", at positions 1 to 649 of the family's 3401-position model. The record is from RNAcentral. Lineage: Eukaryota; Fungi; Ascomycota; Eurotiomycetes; Eurotiales; Aspergillaceae.